UCCAGGUUGAUCCCGCCGGACCUGACUGCUAUCUGAUUGGUACUAAGCCAUGCGAGUCGUUGUAGCAAUACAAGGCGGACUGCUCAGUAACACGUAGUUAACUUAACCUAUGGAUGGGAAUAACCUCGGGAAACUGAGAAUAAUACCCAAUGGGCCACAGUGCCUGGAAUGGCCUGUGGUUGAAAUGAUUUAUCGCCGUAGGAUAGGACUGCGGCCUAUCAGCUUGUUGGUGAGGUAAUGGCCCACCAAGGCUAUAACAGGUACGGGCUCUGAGAGGAGGGGCCCGGAGAUGGGUACUGAGACACGGACCCAGGCCCUAUGGGGCGCAGCAGGCGAGAAACCCUUGCAAUGUGCGAAAGCACGACAAGGUUAAUCCGAGUGUCUCCUGCUAAAGGAGUCUUUUGUCAGUUGUAGAAUCACUGGUGAAUAAGGGGUGGGCAAGUUCUGGUGUCAGCCGCCGCGGUAAAACCAGCACCUCGAAUGGUCAGGAGGUUUAUUGGGCCUAAAGCAUCCGUAGCCGGUUGCAUAAGUUUUCGGUUAAAUCUAUGCGCUUAACGUAUAGGCCGCCGAAAAUACUGUGCAGCUAGGGAG
This 591-nucleotide ribosomal RNA is filed under the name uncultured archaeon. RNAcentral's name for it is "bacterial SSU rRNA". It matches the Rfam family "Archaeal small subunit ribosomal RNA", at positions 1 to 599 of the family's 1478-position model. The record is from RNAcentral.